AUGUUUGCGACGGCGGCGCGGUGGGCGGCGAAGAAGGGGAAGCCCAAGAUGGCGCCGAUCGAGCUCACGACGGCGCCGGAUCAGGCGCAGUCCAUCACCCGCACCAUCUUCGACGUCGUCAAGGAGCACGGCCCCCUCACCAUCUCCGACGUUUGGGAGCACGUCAAGGAUGUAGGCCUGAGGGGUUUGACAAGCAAGAGGCAGAUGAAGAUCAUGCUGCGGUGGAUGAGGGAGAAGCAGAAGCUCCGGCUCAUCUGCGACCAUGACGGACCUCACAAACAAUUCCUCUACACGACAUGGUUCACCAACCCCAAGAAUGCGCCGCAGAGGCCCAAGAGGGAGCUCAGCAGAGAGCCUCCCAAGCCAUGA
Molecule: ribosomal RNA, 369 nt
Filed under: Triticum aestivum (bread wheat)
Lineage: Eukaryota; Viridiplantae; Streptophyta; Magnoliopsida; Poales; Poaceae
Description: partial small subunit ribosomal RNA
Source: RNAcentral